GUCCUCUUGUUUAUAUAUGAGGUCAGACCUGCCCGGUGAAUUUUAUUUUAACGGCCGCGGUAUUUUGACCGUGCAAAGGUAGCAUAAUCAUUAGUCUUUUAAUAGGAGGCUGGAAUGAAGGGUUUGACGAGGUGUUGACUGUCUCAUUUAAUUUGAAAUUAAAAUUUAACUUUUCAGUUAAAAGGCUGAAAUUAUAUUGGAAGACGAGAAGACCCUAUAGAGCUUUAUAGUUACAGUUUUAAUUAAUUAUUGUUUAAUCAUUAUUUUUUAUAAUUAUACCUAUUUUGUUGGGGUGACAAAAAUAUAAAAGUAACUUUUUUAUUUAGUGUUCAUUGAUUUAUGAACUUUAGAUCCAAUUUUAUUGAUUGUUAGAAUAAGUUACCUUAGGGAUAACAGCGUAAUCUUCCUUCAGAGUUCAUAUUUACAGGAAGGAUUGCGACCUCGAUGUUGGAUUAAGAUAAUAAUUAGGUGUAGCCGCUUAAUUUAUAGGUCUGUUCGACCUUUAAACUCUU
RNAcentral lists this ribosomal RNA (512 nucleotides) under Davidius nanus. Its description in RNAcentral is "partial 16S ribosomal RNA". It matches the Rfam family "Bacterial large subunit ribosomal RNA", at positions 1831 to 2597 of the family's 2925-position model. Lineage: Eukaryota; Metazoa; Arthropoda; Insecta; Odonata; Gomphidae. The record is from RNAcentral.